UUACACUUGGUUACUUGUAAGAUAAAUCACAUUUUCAAGUAUAAUGAAUCAAGUAAAAGAGUAAAGUGAAUUUUUGCUAUGUUUGUCCUUAUAGUUAGUUACUACAAGUCGUGUUGCAGCAGAGUCUACCCUUCAAACUGAAUAUGGCUGCAGCUUUACAUGUCUCACUCAGAUGAGGUCUUGGCUUUGUAAAAAGGUAGCAACCAGGUGCCAGACUGUAAGCAGCAGGCAUCCAAGAGACAGUGCUGGAAAAAAAAACACGCAAAUAUAGCAAGGCGAAAUGCCAAACAAAAGAGAAUCUGGGGUUACCUUUCAAUUUAACUCUCGCUGGCGAGCAUGUUCACCAACAGUAACUGACAACCUGCGUGGUUUACCUUCAAAACCCCUUUGUGUUUAAAUAGCAUCUCACCUAAAACAACACAAUGACAAUUUCCUUCAAGCUUCUUUUAUUGAGGUGACAGUUUGGCUUUGCCUUGAUUUACACAGUAAUGGUCAUUUACAGUGAAAGUAUUACAAAACAAAAUCGAGCGGACUUAAUUAAAGAAAAAUUCCUAAAUUUCUGUGUGAUCACGAACACAACUGUAAUGAUCAUUUCUGGUACCUUUCGUUGCAGAAGGAUUUGGUUUGAUGGUGCAGAGAAGUGGACUAACCUGCCUGCUACUCACUCUGGUGCUGUUGACAGGGUAUCUGCAGAUUCAUACAAAGUAUGAAAAAGUCUUAAGGCCUUUGUAUCAGUAGCAGUAUCCCAGAACAUCAACAGCAGAUGCUGUCAACGCAAAAGUCCACUGACAAAGCAGCAAUAUGUGACGACUUGUGUGUGGAACAAGAGAUUGGAGAGAACAAGAGAUUGGAGAGAUUGGAGCACACCCAUGUCUGCAGGUACAAUCCCUGCAGACACUAAAAAUGGGCUGCUUGAGGACAUCCACGAGUCCUCGGGAUUGUUGCAGACAUGGGUGGAUCACAUGGUAAUUGUCAUUAAUCCAAGUUUCAUUUAUCCAGUUCUACGCUCAGUACUUCUCAAACAAAUUCCUAGUAGCUAACACCUUACUUAAGGACAGUCUCUCACAAGGACGAGUAGCACACUUAGGCAAGCGUGUGCUUUAAAACUCUGCUCAGUAGAAUACACAAGCAAAGUUUGUUUUAAAUAGAAAGGUUUUAGCAAAAAUGCAUAUGUCUGGGAAGUACUGAGCAUAUAUCUAUGAGACUUGGAUUAUAAUGCACAAGUUGUGUAAGAGUUUUUAUAAGGAUAUCUUGAUAUAUUUUGCUGGUGUUUAACAAGGCCCCCAUUUACUCCAUUUUGUCAAGAAUUUUCUCUGUUUGUGGAUUGCUUUGUUCAUUGUGGAGGCAAGUGAGAAAAACAUUUUCUUUAUGAAUUGAAAGUAACACAGGGUGAGUUACUGAUAUACAAAUGGUCGUUUUAUGGGUGACGUAUUCCUUCAAACUGAUGUUAAAACUGUAACUUAACAUCCCUUAAAAUCCUGAUCCCACAGUGUCUAAUCUAAACCCUAUCUGAAUAAGCUAUAAUGGUUACUUCAGAUCAAGCUUGUUCAGAUGAGGCACUUCAGUAUUUCACCCUGCAAUACAGUGUGAGACUUGUUGGCUACUCACAGCAACAUGGGGCUUGAUGUGAACUUUUAAGCCUUACCAAAAUACAGACUAUGUAGAGCACCAGGCAUCUGAUCCCACUCAACCCGGGGAAAGGAACUCAAAUGAAAAUGUAAAAAAAGAGAACGAAAGAAUUAUAAAACUUAAUACAGGUAUCUGUGGUUGUUGUAAGUGCUGU
Plectropomus leopardus (leopard coralgrouper) is the source of this 1783-nucleotide non-coding RNA. NCBI's taxonomy places the organism in Eukaryota, Metazoa, Chordata, Actinopteri, Perciformes, Serranidae. The record is from RefSeq and is a predicted model, not a curated record.